Molecule: long non-coding RNA, 5185 nt
Filed under: Coffea arabica (coffee)
Lineage: Eukaryota; Viridiplantae; Streptophyta; Magnoliopsida; Gentianales; Rubiaceae
Description: long non-coding RNA (CARA_LNC001909)
Source: RNAcentral
UCAGGGUUUGAAGUGGAAACAUUGAGGUCAAGUGGUGAGUGUUCCUUGUGUUUGUGAAUUGAAUGCUUUGAUUGUGUGAUUAUUGUUUGACUGUUAAAAGUAUUUCAAAGAUCACUUUACUAUUGAUAGGCGAGUGUGUACUUUACCACACUCGAUCUAAGUGAAUAUAAAUUUUCAACGAUUGAAUAUUACCUGUGCAUGAAUGUAAGUCAUGGCUGAAUUGGGCCCUUGUCCUUCGUCGCUAGCCUAUUCGAGUCACAAGCGGAUUCAGUCAAGUAGGUUGGUAACCUUGGGCCACUAUUUUGGUACACUAGUGUACGACUAUGAAGUUAGGUAGAGUACUGGUCAGUGAAUGAAAUAUAAUGAAUAAAUGACUGAAUGAAAUGAUCAAUGUCGGGGUUUUUGUUUUCAAAUGUAUUUUCAAAUAUCGGAAGUUAUAAGAAAGAAAUGGACGGAGACUGAAUGACUGAAUGACUAAAUGAUUGAAUGAAUGAAUGGUUCCAAGUAAGUUCAUAUCCUUUAAAUGAUUGAAUAAUUACGUUUUAAAUGCCUUGAGAUGUUUACUACUAUGCAAAAUGUGUGAAUUUGUUAAAUGCAAUAUUUUUGUGUUUUGACUGGUAUUUUGCUUGGAUGUUUGUUUGGGGAACCUCACUGGGUAAUAACUCACUCUCCCCCCCCCCUUAGAUUUGUUUUUCCUUACAGGAGUGGAGGUUCGGAGCUUAUAAGUUUGAACUAGUGUGUAAUGAUCCUCUUGCACAUGUACUUUUAGUUUGUAAUUAAGUUUGAAUUUUGAUUGAACUGUAGAAUUCAGAUGUUAAUUUGGAGGCUUGAACGGUUAUUUUGAGAAUUUAUUGGAGUGAAUGUAGUGAGUCCUGACGUGAGUUAGGCAGGCAAUCCGCCAAACCCUUGGGUACGCGUUAGGGAGAGGUGGAGUCGUCACACUAAGGACCAAAUGCAACACAUUCCUAUCAGUGACCCCAUAAUCCUGAACACUGGACUUAUUUUGCGCUAAUUCUUUUCCAUCAAAAACAAGUUUUUGAUUCUUCACAAAAAAUUCCUUGCGGUUCUAUAUCUUGAGCUUUACAGAAGCAAUAGAAUCAGACCCCAUUACCUGCAUAGGAACUGUAUCUUGAGCUUUACAGAAGCAAUAGAAUUAGCCAUUACCUGCAUAGGAAUCACAGAACCUCCAAUUGCAAGAAAAAUUAUGAUGGUAUCAUUUGAAAACGCCCCAUUUCUACCCAAGACAUGAACAGGGAAGUUCCAAUAAUCUUCAUAAACAAGAGUAAGAGCCAUGCUAGCAAUUGACAUUGCAGCUCCAAUAGAUAAUCCUCCCCUGUAUAUCAAGCGGUAAAGUUCUCAAUUUUUUAAGAGCCCACCACAACAGUCAUGAAGUUUGGUUCUUCAAUAGCCUAAUUAGUCAACCACUUGACAAAACCAUAGAUCCACUGCCAGCCUGCGAGAUACACCAUUCUCAACACCAUCCACUUGGACCCACCAUCCGCGCACAUUCUCAACACCAUAGAUCCACUUGACAACACAUUCUCAACAUGCGAGAUACACCAUCUCCUCAUCACAUCUUCUCAUUGAUCCACUGUCAAAAUUUGCAGCUACCAUCCACGCACACCGUAAAUCUAUGCCUAGGAUUCCUCGAGGUCCACGAAGCUAUGACCCUCGUCACUUUCUCACACCUACACAAGGGGAAAGGGGGAUUGUUGGUUCCUAGCAUUUUUUUGUUCAGCAAGCUCUUUGGCUGCAAUAGAGUUUUCUUCAUACAUUUCUUUGCUCGGGAAGAACUCCCAUUUUAUCCAGUGGAACACAGGUUGUCACGGACAAAAAUGCCCUUCAUAGUUUGGCGUGCGUCUCAUGUGGUCGUGGUUUUUGUUGGUAUUAACUGCUGAACUUUAUAGAAGACCCAACAUUUUACACUUUGGAUAGAUCGGGGGCCAAAAGUUCACUUUUUAUUAUUAGGGGGCCAAAAAUUCACCUGACUAAUAGUUUGAGGGUCAUUAGGACUUUUUUUCCUUAAUUCUUUAACUUUUGAAUAUGAAGUCCUUCACAAUCAAUUGAUCCCUCAAUCAAGUCCUAAGUAAAAAUAUCUUAAAAGAAGGCAAGAAAUUAUUUGGACUCUAGACCAACCCCUCUCCGUCAUUACGGAGUUCUUAUAAUCUAAUCUCUGCAAUUGAUGGUCAUUUGACUGAGCUAAGGGGUUAGUAUUAAUUCAUGCAAAGAUGCACCUCUAAAGUUAGGGUAAAGAAUUAUCUAUCUCACUUCGUCACGAAGAGCAAUAGUACUAUUAUUUUUCAUGUCUACAGAGAGACAACAAAAUUAGUGAUGCUUAAUCGAAAAAAAAGCAAUCAACUAUAUACUUAACUCAUGCCCCAAGAUUCGCUCAGCACAUGGGGUACGACCUAUUAUUUUGAAAGUUGAAGUGAUCUAAUUGUAUAUGAGAAAGUAAACAAAAAUAGGUAAAGGAACAUUUUGGUCAAGUUUAGUCUAGUGACAAAAAGAGUUGCACAUGUCCAAGUUUUUGCCCAAAAAUAUAGACCAUUCAAACCACCCAAAACAUGGCCUAGUUCUGAGUCAAAUCAACAGGUGCUUGCAUUUACUGAGGUGUUCCUUGUAUUAGGAACCAGGUCUAGCGUACUUGCUGCCUUUAUUGGGUUGAGUUGUUCAACCAACAAGUUGAGCCAAUUUAAUUGGCAUGCGCCUAUGAAACCUAACCACAUUAGCCCCAUGUCCCACGUACCAUAUUGACUUGCAAAACUAGACAAUUUUUUUUCAUCCUUCAAGUACCUCAAAGUAAAUUGGGGAAGAAAUACAAUUUUGUUCCCAAAAACCUUUGUUUGGUUUGUGUGCCAAAUUGUUCUCCAAUGUUUUGCUUAAAAUAAAUAUUGUUCCAUAAAUUUUUAUUUUAGAUAAACUAAGACAGCUAAUGAAUAUCAACCAUGACUAACAGUGAAAAUCAAAUUGAUAACAAUUUUUUAUAGGAAUAAUAUCAGAAACCUCUCUUGAGAUUUCUCCUAAUAUCACUUGGCAUUUUUGAAAAUUUAAAAAUAUCACUUACCUCUCUUAGUAAUUGUAAAAAGACUAUAUUAACCUUUACUUGACACAUAAUGCAUCUAUCAAAUAAAUGUAGCUUAAAAAUUAAAAAAAAAGGAGAACGAAAGUCACUUUCUUCUCUGUCCCUUUUCUCUAACAUUCUUUCUUACUAAUUUUUUUGGAUGACUAUGCAAUAUUUCAUUUAUAAAUUAUAAUAAAUUGAAUUUUGUUUAUCUUUAUUUUUUGUGAUUGUGAUACAAUGAAGUGUGAUUUAUUUGCUUAUUUUGAGUUGAUUUUUAUAAUGAUAAGUACAAUUUAAAAGUUUGGCUACAUGUUGAGAAGCAGUUAGAAAAAAAAAAGUUCAUAAGAAAUCGAUUUUGAGUAUAUAGAGUUAAAUUGGUACAAGUGUAUUUCUAUGCAAAUAUCUAUUUUAUUUUUCAAAUUUAUAUUUUUAUAGAAUGUAAUAUUAUGAUGUGGUAGCACUACUCGAUAUUGUCUUUUAGGUGAUGAUUUUCUUGAAGUAAAUAAAGUGUUUUAGGAAUAUUUUUAUUUAGCAAGUAAAUACGGUUUUUAAAAAUUUUGUUACACAAAUAAUAAAAGUGAGGGAAGUAUGUAAUAUUUUUAAAACGUUAAGGGUGCCAAGUGAUAUGAAGAGAAACUUCAGGGAAGGUUUCUGAUAUUAUCUCUUUUUUAUACUGAUAAAGUACUUAUGGUAUAAGUGAUUCCAGAAAAAGAAAACCUUCAAAACUCCCUACAAAAAUCCCUAAGUGUACUUGAUAUUUAUCUAACAGUUAUCAAUUUCCUUUAGCUUAAAAAACAUCUUCUUAAUAAAUUACUUUCAAUUGAAUAACAAUACAUAGAGAAUAAUAGAAAAAAAAAGUAAUUGGAGAGCAAAGAAUUAUAAUUUGAAUAUGACUGUAUAAUAAUUAGUACGAUCCAAAUUCUUGCAUGACUUGCAUACAUAUGUUUCCAAUAAUUAUAGUUAUGGAUCGUGAAUGCAAUAACCAGCCAAGGUAAGUACCUCACAUUGCUAAUGGGUAUUUUUGAACAAAUUUUCUUGUCUUUCCUGUUAUUAAAAUUUAACAUCCUUAUACUAUAUAAGAAUGAGUUUAGGACAAAGACGGUUUUUAGAUUUCAACUGCAAGUGUGGGGCUAUUUUGGGAAUGUUAGAGUGUUUGAAGUGUAAUUGGAGCAUUGAGUACAAGUCAUUAAAACUUUAAUUUCACUAUAAUUACUUAUAUAACCUUUCAGACAUUUAAGGUUAUGGGCAGAUUUGGUAUGUUACAAUGUUUGGUGCCAAGUUGAGUAUCAAGUACAACUGAAUUAAGCUUGUGUUUUGAUAGAAUUACAUAAAAGCCCUUUUAAUCAUUUAUUAUACUAAUAUCCAAGCCUUCCAAUUUCCUGAAAACCUUUCUCAUCCGUUAAGGAAUUAAUUGGAUGUUUACAUAAUUGGAUUUUAAUUACAAUUAAUUAACUUAAUUAUUAUUUGAACAAUCAUUAUCAUAUUUAUGCCCCCAUGUUAAGCUGAUACCCUUUCUUCUUUUUCGGUUUCACCUCUUUUGUUUUAUUAUGGCUAUUAAAUAUUUGGUGGAAGGCGUAGCUUUUCCUUUAAAUUGAGGUGAGUUCUUUGGGUUUGUCUUCUUCGAAUGUAGUUUUUUUUUCUGAUGAGUGGUUUAUUCAAGAACUCCAUAUAAUUUGCUUUUUGAUACUUCUAAUUCCAAAAACUGACUAAUUGUAUUAUUUUCCUUAGUAGAUCCUAGAGAUUCUGUCUCUGAUUUGAGAUAAUGUUGUCACUUUUUAAAAUAAUCAGAAAAGCAAUUUUAUCAUCUUCUCCUCCUCGGCCAAGGUAUUAUCUCUUUAUUUAAGUCAAAUAACCUUAUUUCUCAUGAACUUUCUCCUAUUGUUGUUGACUCCAGGGAUCUGUUGACUACAUUCUAGCAGUUAUGUUUUUACUAUAACUACCGCAAAGCAAACAAAUGUGCAGACAUGCUAGCAAAUUGGGGAAGAAGCAUCAAUGAAGACUCCACCUUUUUUUAAUCCUAUCCUGAUUUUGUCCUUCCCUUACUUUUGCAAUACUUAAAAGGGUGUCAUCAACACACAGACGACUUUACUUUAACUAUAACUCUAUAGACUUUGACUUAUACUA